This is a long non-coding RNA of Poeciliopsis prolifica (blackstripe livebearer), 1553 nucleotides long. RefSeq lists it as uncharacterized. The record is from RefSeq and is a predicted model, not a curated record. The transcript has 4 exons. NCBI's taxonomy places the organism in Eukaryota, Metazoa, Chordata, Actinopteri, Cyprinodontiformes, Poeciliidae.
UCUGGGCCAACUGCGUGAGGCUCAAAAGGUUAACCGAAAUGGGACUCAUAUUGUUGGCUCAAUUGGGUUAAAUGUAUGGGCCCAAUUCAGCAUUAACGUGGGCUAACCGGGCAUGGGACAGAAAUGGGAACACUAUAUGGGGCCCAUGUGGUUUCAGUAUAUUGGGCCUAAAAGGUUUUUUGUAAAUAGGAUGAAGGCAUUGUAGUUCAUAUUUUUAAAUUCUUUUUUUAAUUGUUGUGUGACACUUUAAAGCGUUUUGUUAUGUCAUAGUUUAUUUCAAUCUGCCGCUAUUGUGUUGGUCUAGAGUAGUCAUCAGUGUCAGGGUUCCUGUGUGUGUAUGUGAGUGUCGCAUCUUAUUUCAGCGAGGAGCCCGUGGAGCUUGGCACAGGUGGAGGAGCAGCAGAAUCUUCAGUCUACGCUAGAUUGACUGAAGAUUCUACUGGUGUAUGCUAGAUGGUUGCAUACACCGGUAGUCACUCUGGCCUCUCCUGUUGUGAACAGUUUUCUGAGAACGUUUCUGUGUCUACUAGAAGUCACCUGGUCUCUGUGUUUGUUCGAUCCUAGGGGUUUUGUCGCCUCAUUCGAGAACUCACCAGUGAAUACCUGCCUGCUCGCUCCGCCGAUUCCACUGCCUCCACUCCACCCUUCGAGCUUCCAGCUCUCUUCCAUUCCCACCUCGCAUUUACCUUCGGAACCACUGCACACCCUCUCUCAGGAACCUGGCAUCUCACACCCACGCCUCGAAAGACCCGCACCGAAGCUUCAAGAGGAUCAGCGUGUGAAGAUCACUUUAUAAUGAUUUGAAAAAGGUUGCCAUGGCUACAGAAAUUGGAGGAGCAUCCUUAGAUGACACAAUACAACCAGCUGUGCGAUUCCUCAUGUCCCAUGAAUUGGAAGUCCAGUUCAACCUUUUUGGCCAACAUUGGAAACAAGCUCUUGGACCUGCGUCUCUUUGAUGUUUUGUAUGGGGACUUAAAAGAAAUUAUCCAUCUACAGAAUCACACAAGCAUACAGCAAAGACUCUCGAAGUGGUUUACUGGAGCCCGACACUGAAGUGGAAAUAGACUAGAGAGACUGCCAGUUCAAACUCAGGUUGGGGAGGUCUUUCAAGAUGGACAGUUUCAGUAAAGUAUGAGAGAUUUCAAAUUUAAGCAUGCAUAUGGCAUGUAGGUUAUUUUUAAAAAUGUUUAACAAAAAUGUAUUGUGAAAGAUCUAUAUAGGUGUGUAUAUUCACAUUGUGUGUAUCAAUGUGAACAUACGUGUAUAAAGUUAUAUAGAUAGUAUUUAGAUGUAUACAUUUAUAGACCUGUAGGAAAAUAUGUAGGUGUCUUUAUUUGUGUGCAUCUAUAGAUAUAUAUUUAUAGAUCUGUUUAUAAGUUUGUUAUAGUAAACUAGCUUCUGUUAUUUUCAAAGAUGUCGUGAAUAAUUGCAGAUUUCUUUUUGUGGCACCAUUCCCUGAGUAUUAAUGAAGUUCUAAUAAUUGCUGUAGUGAGGUAAAAAAUAACUCCUGACAAUAUUUUAAAUUACUAAAUAAAAGCCUUGAGCAAAAUAAA